AGAAUAUCUGUCUAAGUAGUUUUUAUGGUCCAUUUUUUCCUUUUGCACAAGAUCAAAGCAUCAAGGGACAAGAAAAUAGGGUGAGAAAAGUCAAUUCAAGCUUGCAGAAAUCAUGCUCAGGCCAAAUAUUUAUCCCGUGAUUCAUCAAAAAUGUUGCAAAAUAUAGUACUGGAUCUUUAAUGAUCUAAGGUUUCACUGCCAGUUCUUGUAGGACAUCCUGUUCUGGUGCAGUUCUUAAAGAAAAAGAAGAAAAGAAGUAAAGAAAAAAGAAGAAAAUGCAUUAGGUUGAACCAUAACUUGGAGAGAUCUGAAAGCCACUAACAGAUGGGCGUUUUUCAUCAUGAAGUGGUGUUUUUUAAAGAAUGUAAAUAUUUAUGUUGCUGGUGGUAUAGGACUCGAUUUUAAAAUUGAUAGAAGAGGAAUUUUUUGUAAUCAAACAAGUUCCUGUUUCUGCUCUGAAAAUAAAGGGAAAUCUUCAAGAGUGAGGCACCUGAUUGAGGAAGAAAGUACUGUCUAAUCAAAACAAGAUCAAGAACAAAGAUCCAAGAAGUAUGAGAAAGAAAGAAGAAGGAAUUCAGUCCUCAAUAAUGAGGGAAGGCACAGUCACCGAGUGAUGGAUCUGCACCAAGACUUGCCUCGGUCUUUUCUGCAUAAGAACGUGCGGAAGAAUGAUGGUUGGUGCAAGGGGAAGCCAUGGAAAGCCAUGAGUGCCUG
This is a long non-coding RNA of Gallus gallus (chicken), 714 nucleotides long. NCBI's taxonomy places the organism in Eukaryota, Metazoa, Chordata, Aves, Galliformes, Phasianidae. The record is from Ensembl.